UACGUAGGGGGCAAGCGUUGUCCGGAUUUAUUGGGCGUAAAGAGCGUGUAGGCGGCUUGGUAGGUCUCGCGUCAAAACCUGAGGCUCAACCUCAGUUCGCGUGGGAAACCACCUAGCUAGAGUCCGGAAGAGGAGAACGGAAUUCCCAGUGUAGCGGUGAAAUGCGCAGAUAUCAGGAGGAACACCGGUGGCGAAGGCGGGUCUCUGGGCAGUAACUGACGCUGAGGAGCGAAAGCGUGGGGAGCGAACAGG
RNAcentral lists this ribosomal RNA (252 nucleotides) under uncultured bacterium. RNAcentral describes it as "partial 16S ribosomal RNA". It matches the Rfam family "Bacterial small subunit ribosomal RNA", at positions 524 to 776 of the family's 1533-position model. The record is from RNAcentral.